UACGGAGGGGGCUAGCGUUGUUCGGAAUUACUGGGCGUAAAGCGCACGUAGGCGGCUUUGCAAGUUAGAGGUGAAAGCCCGGGGCUCAACUCCGGAAUUGCCUUUAAAACUGCAUCGCUAGAAUUGUGGAGAGGUAAGUGGAAUUCCGAGUGUAGAGGUGAAAUUCGUAGAUAUUCGCAAGAACACCAGUGGCGAAGGCGGCUGUCUGGUCCGGUUCUGACGCUGAGGCGCGAAAGCGUGGGGAGCAAACAGG
Molecule: ribosomal RNA, 253 nt
Filed under: uncultured bacterium
Lineage: Bacteria
Description: partial 16S ribosomal RNA
Rfam family: Bacterial small subunit ribosomal RNA
Source: RNAcentral